GGCGAACGCUGGCGGCGUGCUUAACACAUGCAAGUCGAACGGAAAGGCCCAGCUUGCUGGGUGCUCGAGUGGCGAACGGGUGAGUAACACGUGGGUGAUCUGCCUCUAACUUCGGGAUAAGCUUGGGAAACUGGGUCUAAUACCGGAUAGGACAAUCGUUUAGUGUCGGUUGUGGAAAGUUUUUUCGGUUAGGGAUGAGCCCGCGGCCUAUCAGCUUGUUGGUGGGGUAAUGGCCUACCAAGGCGUCGACGGGUAGCCGGCCUGAGAGGGUGGACGGCCACAUUGGGACUGAGAUACGGCCCAGACUCCUACGGGAGGCAGCAGUGGGGAAUAUUGCACAAUGGGCGCAAGCCUGAUGCAGCGACGCCGCGUGGGGGAUGACGGCCUUCGGGUUGUAAACCUCUUUCGACAGGGACGAAGCUUUGGUGACGGUACCUGUAUAAGAAGCACCGGCUAACUACGUG
Molecule: ribosomal RNA, 464 nt
Filed under: uncultured bacterium
Lineage: Bacteria
Description: partial 16S ribosomal RNA
Rfam family: Bacterial small subunit ribosomal RNA
Source: RNAcentral